CCUACGGGAGGCAGCAGUGGGGGAUAUUGCACAAUGGGGGAAACCCUGAUGCAGCGACGCCGCGUGUGGGAAGACGGUCUUCUGGAUUGUAAACCACUGUCCCCAGGGACGAAAAUGACGGUACCUGGGGAGGAAGCUCCGGCUAACUACGUGCCAGCAGCCGCGGUAAUACGUAGGGAGCAAGCGUUGUCCGGAAGUACUGGGGGAAAAGGGAGCGUAGGCGGGGAUGCAAGUUGGGUGUCAAAACUACCGGCUCAACCGAUAGUCGCACUCAAAACUGCAGCUCUUGAGUGAAGUAGAGGCAGGCGGAAUUCCUAGUGUAGCGGUGAAAUGCGUAGAUAUAAGGAAGAACACCAGUGGCGAAGGCGGAUGACUGGACGGCAACUGACGGUGAGGCGCGAAAGCGUGGGGAGCAAACAGGAUUAGAUACCCUUGUAGUC
This 440-nucleotide ribosomal RNA is filed under the name uncultured bacterium. RNAcentral describes it as "partial 16S ribosomal RNA". It matches the Rfam family "Bacterial small subunit ribosomal RNA", at positions 338 to 795 of the family's 1533-position model. The record is from RNAcentral.